RNAcentral lists this transfer RNA (78 nucleotides) under Scytolyngbya sp. HA4215-MV1. RNAcentral describes it as "tRNA-Leu". It matches the Rfam family "tRNA". From Rfam's summary of the family: Transfer RNA (tRNA) molecules are approximately 80 nucleotides in length. Their secondary structure includes four short double-helical elements and three loops (D, anti-codon, and T loops). Further hydrogen bonds mediate the characteristic L-shaped molecular structure. tRNAs have two regions of fundamental functional importance: the anti-codon, which is responsible for specific mRNA codon recognition, and the 3' end, to which the tRNAs corresponding amino acid is attached (by aminoacyl-tRNA synthetases). tRNAs cope with the degeneracy of the genetic code in two manners: having more than one tRNA (with a specific anti-codon) for a particular amino acid; and 'wobble' base-pairing, i.e. permitting non-standard base-pairing at the 3rd anti-codon position. The record is from RNAcentral. Lineage: Bacteria; Bacillati; Cyanobacteriota; Cyanophyceae; Leptolyngbyales; Leptolyngbyaceae. RNAcentral also lists the same sequence under 1 other name.
ACUCCUGUAGCCCAAUCGGAAGAGGCGGCUAUCUCAAAAACAGUCAGUGUGUGGGUUCAAAUCCCGCCAGGAGUACCA